AUGGAAGAUGUGGAGAUCAUUCAUAGUUUGGGUGUCAACUCCUACAGAUUCUCAAUUUCAUGGGCGAGAAUCCUACCAAGAGGCCGGCUUGGAGGCGUUAAUUCAGCUGGAGUAGCGUUCUACGACCGCCUGAUUGAUGCACUCGUGCACAAAGGGAUAGAGCCAUUUGUGACACUGCAUCACUUUGAUCUGCCGCACGAAAUGGAGACCCGAUACGGCGGUUGGCUGGGCGCCGAAAUCCGGGAGGAGUUUGACUACUACGCCGACGUGUGCUUCAAGGCGUUUGGUGACCGGGUGAAGUUC
RNAcentral lists this ribosomal RNA (303 nucleotides) under Triticum aestivum (bread wheat). RNAcentral's name for it is "partial small subunit ribosomal RNA". Lineage: Eukaryota; Viridiplantae; Streptophyta; Magnoliopsida; Poales; Poaceae. The record is from RNAcentral.